This 253-nucleotide ribosomal RNA is filed under the name uncultured bacterium. RNAcentral's name for it is "partial 16S ribosomal RNA". It matches the Rfam family "Bacterial small subunit ribosomal RNA", at positions 524 to 776 of the family's 1533-position model. The record is from RNAcentral.
UACAGAGGUCUCGAGCGUUAGGCGGAAUCACUGGGCUUAAAGCGUGUGUAGGCGGAUCGGUAAGUACCUUGUGAAAUCCCACAGCUUAACUGUGGAACUGCUUGGUAUACUGCCAGUCUUGAGCCUGCUAGGGGCUACCGGAACAAAUGGUGGAGCGGUGAAAUGCGUAGAUAUCAUUUGGAACGCCAAUGGUGAAAACAGGUAGCUGGGGCUGUGCUGACGCUGAGACACGAAAGCCAGGGGAGCAAACGGG